UACGAAGGGGGCUAGCGUUGCUCGGAAUCACUGGGCGUAAAGGGUGCGUAGGCGGGUCUUUUAAGUCAGGGGUGAAAUCCUGGAGCUCAACUCCAGAACUGCCUUUGAUACUGAGGAUCUUGAGUUCGGGAGAGGUGAGUGGAACUGCGAGUGUAGAGGUGAAAUUCGUAGAUAUUCGCAAGAACACCAGUGGCGAAGGCGGCUCACUGGCCCGAUACUGACGCUGAGGUGCGAAAAGCGUGGGGAGCAAACAGG
Molecule: ribosomal RNA, 255 nt
Filed under: uncultured bacterium
Lineage: Bacteria
Description: partial 16S ribosomal RNA
Rfam family: Bacterial small subunit ribosomal RNA
Source: RNAcentral